UCUAGCCCCUGACGCCUGACUCCCAGCCAUUCAUCGCCCUGACGCACUUCCCCGGCGCCAGGUACCGAAUGGAUGGGGAUCAGGAUUCAGGAGCCGGUCCUC
Molecule: regulatory RNA element, 102 nt
Organism: Leifsonia sp. Root227
Lineage: Bacteria; Bacillati; Actinomycetota; Actinomycetes; Micrococcales; Microbacteriaceae
Rfam family: mraW RNA
Source: Rfam